RNA transcript from Oncorhynchus kisutch (coho salmon), 7437 nucleotides. It is a transcript of the gene named RNA-binding protein 12B-like, with no coding region annotated. Lineage: Eukaryota; Metazoa; Chordata; Actinopteri; Salmoniformes; Salmonidae. The transcript is spliced from 8 exons. The record is from RefSeq and is a predicted model, not a curated record.
UGGGAUGAAAUUAUCAUGCUAGCGUAGCGUUAUUUUACGAGUAGCCAGGCUACAAGGCCCUGCUAGCUAGCGUUGUUAGCUACGCUAGCUGAUAUGUAGCUAGCUAACGUUAGAUUGCGACUUUCUUUAAAACAAAUACUAAUUCAGUGUUUAAUGUUGUAUGGUGCAUUUUGCUUGUGCAUUUUCUUAGGUAACUAAAACGCUGACAAUGUGGCUGUUCAACUGAACUAACCGGCUAGCAUACACAGUGGCUAGCUAACGUUAGGAACCGUGCUAUGGUGGGCUGUUUAUUUUUUUGUUUGACCUUUCAUUUAACUAGGCAAAUCAGUUAAUAAGAGCAAAUUCUUAUUUUCAAUGACGGCCUAGGAACAGUGUGCUAACUUCCUCAAGUGAUGGCAUAGCUUUUGGUUUUUCUAACUAGUUUCACGUAUCCUGAUUUGUUCUAGCCAGAUGAGUGCGUUUCGCACUGGUUGCUUUGUGACGGUUUUCUUCUCUUCUCUGCAUUUAACUGAAAUGUCGCCCCCUCCAAUUAUGUUAAUGGUCGAUGAUUAUGAAACCCUGAAUCACGGUGUGCGACUGGAGAUUUUUUAUCUCGCUCGCCGUAAAAAGUAAUCUAUCUAGUUUAUACAAAUUAUAUAUUUUUAUAGGUGUCAGUAUAUGUUGGCGUUAAAUUGACCAAUGGCGUGUGUGUGCUCUACAUGAAAUGUAUUUUGUGGCAUGACGUUUUGACUAGUAGCCGUCACAGUAGGGUGUGGGCUGCUUCUUUUUGAUUUGUGCAGCAGAACGACUAAUCAUACUCAAGUAUGCCAGAUAUUACUCUUAUGCCUAUGGUGCAUUUCCAGUAGACUUUACCCUGGUGAUUGGACUGAAGACUUGUUUUUUUCCACCUCUGAGGCCUGGCCCCCCAAAAAUCGAAAGGUCUUGGGCCGUGAACUUACUCAGGCCAGACCUGGGAAAGUAACUUUUUUUCCAGAACAUGGUUAACACAAAGUGGUGCUGUUUGUGCUGUUGUCGGAAUGGCGGUGGUCAUCCAUUUACAGGGGCUCAGAAUCACUGCAGGUUCUGAGGAUGUUCGCAAUUUCUUCACUGGCCUCAAAAUCCCAGAUGGUGGGGUGCACAUUAUUGGUGGGGAGCGUGAGGAGGCUUUCAUAAUCUUUGCUUCCGAUGAAGACGCGAGGCGGGCGAUGACCCGUUCGGAGGGAUCCAUCAAAGGUUUUCCGGUUCACUUACGGCUGAGCAGCAAGUCAGAAAUGCAGGCCGUUCUCAAGCAAAGUAUAAAACCCGAGGUGACCAAAAAGAGGCCGUAUAAGGAAGGUUUCAGAAGACCGGAAAGAGAAGGCAGGAAUGAGGAACCUGGAAGAAAAGAGCUUGUAGAGAUGGGCAGUAGAUCAGGGUCUUACAGUAAUGUACGUAGUCAGGCCCGAAAGCCUUCCUCACAGCCCAUCAGUCAAGAUGACUUGUAUUUGCUUAUGCAAGGCAUGCCUUUUACUACGAACGAAGACGACGUGAAAGAAUUCUUUAGCGGAUUAGAGGUGGAGGACAUUAUUAUAAUGAGAAAUGACCGCGGCCAACCAAAUGUGAAAGGAAUUGUCAAGUUCAAAUCCAGACGGGAUGCUAGAGAGGGUCUGAAAAGAAAUCGGCAUUACAUUGGAACUAGGUUUGUGGAAAUCGAUGUAUGCUCAGAAGAGCAGUAUUUUAAGGCAGAUGUUGGUAGGGAACAGAUGUUGGCAUGGAACAGCAGUGGUACGUUUAGAAGAGGGCCUUCCUCAGCUCCCACUGAGAGGUCUCCUCCAGACCGUGCUAGGUCUUUCUCACCAGUGGCCUACAGGUCUAAGUCCCCUUCUCCUUCCAAUGAUGAGUUCUGUGUCUUGGUGGAAAACCUUCCCUACUUAGUGGAGAAGAGGGACAUAAAGGAGAUCUUCAUUCAUGCAGACCUCAAGUAUGAUCAGAUCCUUCACCUUCUUGACAAGUAUGGGUCAGAGACAAGGUCCGCAUUUGUGCUGUUCAACAACCUGAGGGACUACGGUGCUGCCUUGACUCUUCACAAGAAGAAAUUUCUCAAACGAUGUGUGUACAUCUCUCCUAUCUCGAAAGAGAAAAUGGUCACCAUGCUAGAAUCUGGGGGAAAUACAAUGGAGGGCACACCACCCUCUGAAAGGUCUUCCAGCCGAUCUCAGGAAAGGCCUCCAAGAGAGACCGAGAAGGAUGUGUAUGAAUCUGAGAAGAUUUGCCUGUAUGUGCGAAACCUGCCUUUCGACGUGCGCAAAGUUGAGAUUGUGGACUUCUUCCUAGGCUUCAGAAUCUCAGAGGAGGCUGUUGUUUUGCUGCUUGACCAUAAGGGCAAUGGGCUUGGAGAGGCUUUGGUGAUCUUUCAGACUGAGGAGGAGGCUAUGAGGGCACAGUCUCUGAAUGGGCAAGGGUUUCUUGGAACAAAUCUCAUCCUGAAAUGCAUUUCUCUGGCUCAGAUGCGUGAAUUUGGUGUUGGUGAACCUGCAGUGAAAGAGCAAAAGAUAGAGAGAAGCUCAGAGAGGUACCUGGCCAGGAACAGUGAGGCGAUGUCCCAUCUGUACACUGAUUACAGGGUAAACCCUGAUAUAGGCCAUCUUCCUAUGAACGACCUGCAGGUUCAUAUUCAUGGAGGCAGCAGUCUGGGUCUCGAUUCUCAAAUGAUGGAAAGCCCUGUUCUGCUUGACAACCGGGGCAAUGGCUCUGCUCAUAGACAUGGAGGCUAUGGACCUUCUGCACCGCAGCAGUUUGAUGGUCCAACAUGCCUGAAACUGGUUAAUCUGCCUUCGACUAUCAGAAUUGACGAAAUCUAUGACUUUUGCUAUGGAUAUCGUGUAAUUCCUGGAUCGGUCUCAUUGCAGUAUGACAACAAAGGGAUUCCCAAAGGCUCAGCAACGGUUGUUUUUGGAUCUCGCUUGGAGGCGUUAACGGCAGUUGAGGAAUUGAGUGGAAGACCAAUAGGCAGCAGAAAAGUAAAACUAGUUUUUGUGUGAAAUCCGUAUAGAACAGGAAAGAACCUUUUGGGGCUUUAAAAUGUGAUGUUUUAGGAAGAACAACUCACAGUAUUUGGUUAGUCUGAUGGAUUCCAACAAUGGCGACUGAACAAUUGUAGAUUUAAAAAAAUACUGUGUGUGUAUGUGUAUAUAGCCUUCUACUCAAUGUGUAACGGACAAACCUUUUGUCCAUAGUUUUUUUCCCCCCCUUAAAGAAUAACAAAAUGAUUUAUUUGUAUUUUGCCCAUCGCUUGCUUGUCAUGUAGCCUGUUUCUGAAGCUUUUUCUUUUUAGUGAAAUUUGCCUGAAAUUGUAUUUUCUUUAACAGCUGGGUGAAGGUAAAACUUAAUUUUGCUACUAUUUGUUUAAAUGUUUAUUGCAUUCUGUAGUGUAAAAGUUGUCCAUUUAAACUUAGUGGAAAUUCUUUGAUUAAAAUUCAUAAUGUUCUCCUGUUGUCAUCUUCCAAGAUUGUCUAAGAUAUUGUGUUGUAUGAUAAAUACUGCAUUGCCCAUGGUCCUUUUUUCUCCCUGUGGUCAAUCUGGUGGUCUUUGGAAUCAGAAUGACCAUGAAUGCAAUGUUAUUUUACUUCAACUGGGGGGGACACGCUAACACUCAAAUUGUUAAGUAUCUAUAUACGUUAGGUAUUCCCCAAAUCAUACUGCAAGUUAUGCAGGAUUUAACACAAGCAAAGGGUGUAACUGUCUGCAUUCACUCCCUUUUUUAUUUGAUUCUGUUGCAGAUGCAUGUAUUUAGUUCGUCAGGAGCAGUGAGAAUAAAGCCCGAGUUUAGAAGGCAGGAGACUUUCACGCUUUACUGAGGAUCUGUGAAUUGCACCUACAUUAAUUCCAGCUACCCAAUUUCCAGAAGUAACCAAGAGUUGGACUACGGUGACCAAAGGAUAGAAUGUUGUUCACUAUUCUCACAGAAAUGACGGUUUUCCCCUUUAAACCUUGAAGUAAUAACUGGGUGGCCGGUAGCCUAGCGGUUAGAGCUUUGGGCCAGUAAUCAAAAGGUCACUGGUUCGAAUACCUUGGAGAAGGGCCCUAAGAAUGGUCAAGAACUCCACCCACCCAAGUCAUAGACUGUUCAUUCUGCUACCGUACAGCAAGCUCGGGCCUCCUGAGUGGUGCAGCGAUCUAAGGCACAAUAUCUCAGUGCCUGAGGCAUCACUACAGGCACCCUGGUUCGAAUCCGGGCUGUAUCACACCCAGCCGUGAUUGGAGUCACAAUCAGCACACAAUUGGCCCAGCAUUGUCUGGGUAGGGCUGGUGUAGGUUGUCAUUGUAAAUAAGAAUUUGUUCUUAACCGACUUGCCUAGUUAAAAAGGAAAAAAAGCUGUACCGGGGCGCCAGGUCGGGAACCAAAAGGCUCCUUAACAGCUUCUACCACCAAACCAUAAGGCAGCUGAGAAACUCAUACGAACACUUUCUCACACAUCACAUGCUGCUGUUACGUUAUCCUGAUUACCUCGUCUCUUUUACCCCUACCUACAUGUACAAAUUACCUCAACUACCUCGUACCCCUGCACAUUGACCUGGAUGGAAGUGUCAAGGAGGCGGAUCUUACAGAAGCACCUGCAGCCAGCCAGACCACUGCGGCGCUGCAGUACUGACCAGGAUUCCUGCUUUAGAAAUGAGCCAUCUGCGUGUGGACAAGCUGGAGAAAAAACAAUUAACAGUAUUGGAGUGGAACAGUUUUUUGAAAUCCUCCAUCUCCAUACUCAGACACCACAAAAAGACUCCACCCCAACUAAAGUGAGGAUAUCUUACACUAGAGACUUCCUGAUUCAACUGGCCAGUUCCCCCAUUGCCAAAAGAAAACCGGACUUCUUACCAGAACAUCCUGUUGUUUUGGAAAAGGCGCGAGAACCUGGUGUGCCAUGGUUGGAGAAGAGGUUUGAUGAAAACAAUGAAAUGCUUGCCUAGGCUAACAUGGAGCCAGGAAGUCUGGUUGCUGCUGCUGCUUUUCAAACCACACACCACUACAACUUGCUCUGCCAUUGAGUGAUAUACCAACAACAACAACAAAAAUCCCAGUUGAGCCCAGAACACCACAGGCGUCCCAAAUAGCACCCUAUGUCCUAUUUAGUGCACUACUUUUGACCAGGGUCGAUAGGGUUCAGAUCAUAAACAGCCAUGACCAUGAGAGUUGUAAGCGAGAGGUGUAUAUAUAUAUAUAUAUAUAUUUUUUUUUCCUUUGACAAAUGUUGGUUCCUUUGGUGGACACAAACCUGAAAAUGUACCGUAGCCUACAUGUUUUAAAUGGUGUGUUUCAGUCUAAAAUAAUAAUGCGUGGUUGAAUGAUGUGCCUUGAUGCUAACAAAUGCCCCUUGCACUGUGUGAUGUUUACAUAUGGCAUAAUGCUAAUAACGCCUCAGUUGGAGGCCAUUGACUCUGAGUAACCUUACAACGACCUCCCAAGACCAACACUACAUUCAUUUAACCCUUUCACUUUUUCAUAUGUUGGAGUAUGGGUGUUUUAGGUUUGAUAUUGUCACUGAAGAUUGAUUAUUGACUUAUAUCAACUAGUUGAAUGUUGAAGUAUAGGCCUGCUGCAUAACUUGUCUCUAUUCCCCCAUUGAAAACUGAGCCUGCCUUUGCACACUAUCCUUCUGAGGGUCAGUCCUGUAGUCACAUCAAAUAAUACAUCUCUCCCCCACUUCUCUGAGGGUCAGUCCUGUAAUCACAUCAAAUAGUACAUCUCUCCCCCACUCCUCUGAGGGUCAGUCCUGUAGUCACAUCAAAUACUACAUCUCUCCCCCACUUCUCUGAGGGUCAGUCCUGUAAUCACAUCAAAUAGUACAUCUCUCCCCCACUCCUCUGAGGGUCAGUCCUGUAGUCACAUCAAAUAGUACAUCUCUCCCCCACUUCUCUGAGGGUCAGUCCUGUAGUCACAUCAAAUAGUACAUCUCUCCCCCACUUCUCUGAGGGUCAGUCCUGUAGUCACAUCAAAUGGUGCAUCUCUCCCCCACUUCUCUGAGGGUCAGUCCUGUAGUCACAUCAAAUAGUACAUCUCUCCCCCACUCCUCUGAGGGUCAGUCCUGUAGUCACAUCAAAUAAUACAUCUCUCCCCCACUCCUCUGAGGGUCAGUCCUGUAGUCACAUCAAAUAGUACAUCUCUCCCCCACUUCUCUGAGGGUCAGUCCUGUAGUCACAUCAAAUAAUACAUCUCUCCCCCACUCCUCUGAGGGUCAGUCCUCUAGUCAUAUCAAAUAGUACAUCUCUCCCCCACUUCUCUGAGGGUCAGUCCUCUAGUCAUAUCAAAUAGUACAUCUCUCCCCCACUUCUCUGAGGGUCAGUCCUGUAGUCACAUCAAAUGGUGCAUCUCUCCCCCACUUCUCUGAGGGUCAGUCCUGUAGUCACAUCAAAUAGUACAUCUCUCCCCCACUCCUCUGAGGGUCAGUCCUGUAGUCACAUCAAAUAAUACAUCUCUCCCCCACUCCUCUGAGGGUCAGUCCUGUAGUCACAUCAAAUAGUACAUCUCUCCCCCACUCCUCUGAGGGUCAGUCCUGUAGUCACAUCAAAUAGUACAUCUCUCCCCCACUCCUCUGAGGGUCAGUCCUCUAGUCAUAUCAAAUAGUACAUCUCUCCCCUACUGCACCUUUUCUCAGUUUAUUCUAUAGUAGUUGAAUGUGAAUAACAGCUGUGUAAAUUAGCACAGAGUUAGUGAAACCCGUCGCCUUGACUUGCCUGUGUACAUAAGGGGUAGUUUAUUAUGCAGCUUGUGUUCGGAGACUGUUGUGGUUCUAGUGUGGAAUGGGGAGACUGUUGUGGUUCUAGUGUGGAAUGGGGAGACUGUUGUGGUUCUAGUGUGGAAUGGGGAGACUGUUGUGGUUCUAGUGUGGAAUGGGGAGACUGUUGUGGUUCUAGUGUGGAAUGGGGAGACUGUUGUGGUUCUAGUGUGGAAUGGGGAGACUGUUGUGGUUCUAGUGUGGAAUGGGGAGACUGUUGUGGUUCUAGUGUGGAAUGGGGAGACUGUUGUGGUUCUAGUGUGGAAUGGGGAGACUGUUGUGGUUCUAGUGUGGAAUGGGGGAAAUUGAGUGCCUGUUUAUUUUUGAAGUGUAUUUAUUUAAUUUAUCCUUAUUUUGUUAUAAGCUAUUUGCCUAUCGAGGCUUAGUCAUGAUGGCGGGCUUCAUUCCAAGAUGUUGGCUUUUUGUUGAUACAAGGCUGAGAGGACUUUCCUAUGCUAAUGUAAAGGGACUGCCAAAGUGUAACCAUGUAUUUUCAGAUAUGCAGUAGGUUAAAUAAGUGCCCCCCCCCCCCCCCCCCCACAUUGAUUUUGACUUUCAAGUUGCACAUUGUGAAGAUAGUACACAAAAUUAAAUAGGCUAUGGUGCACAUCCUCUCCUUGCUCCAAGACGUAUGAGCUGAUCUGGGAUCUGCCCUAAUAGCCCUGUACAUUUCUGUGCUCUUAUAAAAAAUAAAAAAAUGUAUGACAAA